Molecule: ribosomal RNA, 413 nt
Filed under: uncultured bacterium
Lineage: Bacteria
Description: bacterial SSU rRNA
Rfam family: Bacterial small subunit ribosomal RNA
Source: RNAcentral
AACGAACGCUGGCGGCAGGCCUAACACAUGCAAGUCGAACGCACCGCAAGGUGAGUGGCGCACGGGUGAGUAACACGUGGGAAUGUACCCUUUGGUUCGGAAUAACGUUUGGAAACGAACGCUAAUACCGGAUGAGCCCUGCGGGGGAAAGAUUUAUCGCCAAAGGAGCAGCCCGCGUCUGAUUAGCUAGUUGGUGGGGUAAAGGCCUACCAAGGCGACGAUCAGUAGCUGGUCUGAGAGGAUGAUCAGCCACACUGGGACUGAGACACGGCCCAGACUCCUACGGGAGGCAGCAGUGGGGAAUAUUGGACAAUGGGCGCAAGCCUGAUCCAGCCAUGCCGCGUGAGUGAUGAAGGCCUUCGGGUUGUAAAGCUCUUUCGCACGCGACGAUGAUGACGUAGCGUGAGAAGAAG